Molecule: ribosomal RNA, 424 nt
Filed under: uncultured bacterium
Lineage: Bacteria
Description: partial 16S ribosomal RNA
Rfam family: Bacterial small subunit ribosomal RNA
Source: RNAcentral
AAUAUGGGACAAUGGGCGCAAGCCAUACCAUGCAAUGCCGCGUGAGUCAAGAAGAUCUUUGGAUUGUAAUGCACUGUAUUUUGGGAGGCAGGGCAGUUAACGAAUAACCAACUGUUUUGAUGUUAUCAAAAGAAUAAGCAACGGCUAACGUCGUGCCAGCAGCCGCGGUAAUACGAAGGGUGCAAGCGUUAAUCGGAAUUACUGGGCGUAAAGCGCGCGUAGGUGGUUCGUUAAGUUGGAAGUGAAAGCCCAGGGCUCAACCUGGGAAUUGCUUUGAAAACUGGCGAGCUAGAGUACGGUAGAAGGUGGUGGAAUUAGCUGAGUAGCGGUGAAAUGCGUUGGUAAGGGAAGGAACAUCAAAGGCGAAGGCGACCGCAUGGACUGAUACUGACGCUGAGGUGCGAAAGCGUGGGGAGCAAACAGG